This 504-nucleotide ribosomal RNA is filed under the name uncultured Actinomycetes bacterium. Its description in RNAcentral is "bacterial SSU rRNA". It matches the Rfam family "Bacterial small subunit ribosomal RNA", at positions 355 to 851 of the family's 1533-position model. The record is from RNAcentral. Lineage: Bacteria; Bacillati; Actinomycetota; Actinomycetes.
UAGGGAAUCUUGCGCAAUGGGCGAAAGCCUGACGCAGCGACGCCGCGUGAGGGAAGAAGGCCUUGGUUGUAACCUCUUUCAGGAGGGACGAAGCUACUCGGGUGAACAGCCCAGAGGGUGACGGUACCUCCAGAAGAAGCCCCGGCUAACUACGUGCCAGCAGCCGCGGUAAUACGUAGGGGCGAGCGUUGUCCGGAUUUACUGGGCGUAAAGCGCGUGUAGGCGGCCGUACAGGUCUGUUGUGAAAACUGGAGGCUCAACCUCCAGACGUCGAUAGAAACCGUGCGGCUAGAGUCCGGAAGAGGAGAGUGGAAUUCCUGGUGUAGCGGUGAAAUGCGCAGAUAUCAGGAAGAACACCAAUGGCGAAGGCAGCUCUCUGGGACGGUACUGACGCUGAGACGCGAAAGCGUGGGGAGCGAACAGGGUAUUAGGAUACCCUGGUAGUCCACGCCGUAAACGAUGGGUGCUAGGUGUGGGAGGUCGUCGACUCCUUCCGUGCCGCAA